This 465-nucleotide ribosomal RNA is filed under the name uncultured bacterium. RNAcentral describes it as "partial 16S ribosomal RNA". It matches the Rfam family "Bacterial small subunit ribosomal RNA", at positions 338 to 795 of the family's 1533-position model. The record is from RNAcentral.
CCUACGGGAGGCAGCAGUGGGGAAUAUUGCGCAAUGGGCGAAAGCCUGACGCAGCGACGCCGCGUGAGGGAUGAAGGUCUUCGGAUCGUAAACCUCUGUCAGCAGGGAAGAACGGUCACUGUGCUAAUCAGCAGUGAAUUGACGGUACCUGCAAAGGAAGCACCGGCUAACUCCGUGCCAGCCGCCGCGGUAAUACGGCGGGUGCGCGCGUUAAUCGGAAUUACUGGGCGUAAAGCGCGCGUAGGCGGUAUGUCAAGUCAAGGGUGAAAUCCCCGCGCUCAACGUGGGAACUGCCUUUGAAACUGGCAAACUGGAGUGUGGGAGAGGAUAGUGGAAUUCCAGGUGUAGGAGUGAAAUCCGUAGAGAUCUGGAGGAACAUCAGUGGCGAAGGCGACUAUCUGGCACAUAACUGACGCUGAGGAGCGAAAGCGUGGGUAGCAAACAGGAUUAGAUACCCCUGUAGUC